This 207-nucleotide ribosomal RNA is filed under the name uncultured bacterium. RNAcentral describes it as "partial 16S ribosomal RNA". It matches the Rfam family "Bacterial small subunit ribosomal RNA", at positions 568 to 774 of the family's 1533-position model. The record is from RNAcentral.
CGCGUAGGCGGGUGCUCAAGUCCGGGGUGAAAUCCUCCAGCUCAACUGGAGAACUGCCUCGGAUACUGGGCGUCUCGAGUGUGGUAGGGGUAUGCGGAACUAUCGGUGGAGCGGUGAAAUGCGUUGAUAUCGAUAGGAACUCCGGUGGCGAAGGCGGCAUACUGGACCACUACUGACGCUGAUGCGCGAAAGCCAGGGGAGCGAACG